Molecule: ribosomal RNA, 497 nt
Filed under: uncultured bacterium
Lineage: Bacteria
Description: partial 16S ribosomal RNA
Rfam family: Bacterial small subunit ribosomal RNA
Source: RNAcentral
GAUGAACGCUGGCGGCGUGCCUAAUACAUGCAAGUCGAGCGAACAGACGAGGCGCUUGCUCCUCUGACGUUAGCGGCGGACGGGUGAGUAACACGUGGAUAACCUACCUAUAAGACUGGUAUCACUUCGGGAAACCGGAGCUAAUACCGGAUAAUCUCUUGAACCGCAUGGUUCAAUAGUGAAAGACGGUUUUGCUGUCUCUUAUAGAUGGAUCCCCGCCGCAUUAGCUAGUUGUUAAGGUAACGGCUUACCAAGGCAACGAUGCGUAGCCGACCUGAGAGGGGGAUAGGCGACAUGGGAGAGGGGCCAGGGUCCAGACGACUACGGGAGGCAGCAGAAGGGAAUGGUACGCAAUGGGCGAAAGCAUGACGGAGCAACGCGGCGUGAGUGAUGAAGGUCUUCGGAUCGUAAAAAUCUGUUAUGAGGGAAGAACAAAUGUGGAAGGAACUAUGCACGGCGUGACGGUACCUAAUCAGAAAGCCACGGCUAACUACGUG